RNAcentral lists this ribosomal RNA (228 nucleotides) under uncultured bacterium. Its description in RNAcentral is "partial 16S ribosomal RNA". It matches the Rfam family "Bacterial small subunit ribosomal RNA", at positions 118 to 347 of the family's 1533-position model. The record is from RNAcentral.
UGGGUGACCUGCCCUCAGCUCUGGGAUAAGCCCGAGAAAUUGGGUCUAAUACCGGAUAUGGCCUUUCCUCGCAUGGGGUUUGGUGGAAAGUUUUUUCGGCUGGGGAUGGGCCCGCGGCCUAUCAGCUUGUUGGUGGGGUGAUGGCCUACCAAGGCGACGACGGGUAGCCGGCCUGAGAGGGCGACCGGCCACACUGGGACUGAGACACGGCCCAGACUCCUACGGGAG